UACGAAGGGGGCUAGCGUUGCUCGGAAUCACUGGGCGUAAAGCGCACGUAGGCGGAUCUUUAAGUCAGGGGUGAAAUCCUGGAGCUCAACUCCAGAACUGCCUUUGAUACUGGGGAUCUCGAGUCCGGGAGAGGUGAGUGGAACUCCGAGUGUAGAGGUGAAAUGCGCAGAUAUCAGGAGGAACACCAAUGGCGAAGGCAGCUCGCUGGGACGGUACUGACGCUGAGACGCGAAAGCGUGGGGAGCAAACAGG
This 253-nucleotide ribosomal RNA is filed under the name uncultured bacterium. RNAcentral describes it as "partial 16S ribosomal RNA". It matches the Rfam family "Bacterial small subunit ribosomal RNA", at positions 524 to 776 of the family's 1533-position model. The record is from RNAcentral.